UCAUUGCUGGAACAAACGCCCUCACGGGUGCUACCCAGAAACCCUUUGUGAACUAUACCUUUUGUUGCCUCGGCAUUUGGUUGGCUUUGAACAAAGUCCCUUGCCUCCCCCCCCCUUUCCGGGAGGGGGCACGGAGCAGACCGGCCGACGGCCCCUAUAAACUCUUGUUUUUGUAUCAUCUUCUGAGUAAACAACUAUAAAUGAAUCAAAACUUUCAACAACGGAUCUCUUGGUUCUGGCAUCGAUGAAGAACGCAGCGAAAUGCGAUAAGUAAUGUGAAUUGCAGAAUUCAGUGAAUCAUCGAAUCUUUGAACGCACAUUGCGCCCGGUGGUAUUCCACCGGGCAUGCCUGUUCGAGCGUCAUUUCAACCCUCAGAAGCCUGGCUUUUGGUGUUGGAGGAAUACCUGUAAAAGGGUACCCUCUGAAAUUUAGUGGCGGGCUCGCUAGAAUUUUGAGCGUAGUAAUUUUACCUCGUUUUUAAAGACUAGUGGGACUUCUUGCCGUAAAACCCCCCAACUUUCUGA
Molecule: ribosomal RNA, 525 nt
Filed under: Ophiognomonia micromegala
Lineage: Eukaryota; Fungi; Ascomycota; Sordariomycetes; Diaporthales; Gnomoniaceae
Description: eukaryotic LSU rRNA
Rfam family: 5.8S ribosomal RNA (bases 210-363)
Source: RNAcentral